CCUACGGGGGACUGCAGUGGGGGAUAUUGCACAAUGGGGGGAACCCUGAUGCAGCGACGCCGCGUGGGUGAAGGAGUGCUUCGGCAUGUAAAGCCCUAUCGGCAGGGAAGAAGCAAGACGGUACCUGACUAAGAAGCCCCGGCUAACUACGUGCCAGCAGCCGCGGUAAUACGUAGGGGGCGAGCGUUAUCCGGAUUCACUGGGUGUAAAGGGAGCGUAGACGGCCAAGCAAGCCAGGGGUGAAAGCCCGGGGCCCAACCCCGGGACUGCCCUUGGAACUGCAUGGCUGGAGUGCGGGAGGGGCAGGCGGAAGUCCUAGUGUAGCGGUGAAAUGCGUAGAUAUUAGGAGGAACACCGGUGGCGAAGGCGGCCUGCUGGACUGUGACUGACGUUGAGGCCCGAAGGCGUGGGGAGCAAACAGGAUUAGAUACCCGAGUAGUC
This 441-nucleotide ribosomal RNA is filed under the name uncultured bacterium. RNAcentral's name for it is "partial 16S ribosomal RNA". It matches the Rfam family "Bacterial small subunit ribosomal RNA", at positions 338 to 795 of the family's 1533-position model. The record is from RNAcentral.